AAAACCGGAAGACAAUUUUUGUGACCAACUUGCUAUCUCUGCGUGGAUUUCGCCGCCGAAAGGACUUCGGCCCACCGUGUGCAAGCGUCAUAUUUGCUCAGCGUACAAUUAUUAUCAACAGGAAAGAGUCGUCUGUGGCGGCAGAGUGCACGUCCAAUGACGUGGGUGAUCGCUGUCCCUCAACACUUUUUUUUAUAAUUCUUUCAGCCGUUGAGGAAAUUCGCAUGAUAAGAUAUACAGAACUAAAGUUGUAGGGGCUGUAGGUAUAAGACUGCCCAGGCUGGUCGUACAGAUAUAGAUCCUAGGUGAAGUCGGGGACUGCAGCAGUCCUGUCGCUGCGCUCACACGAGUUGCACUUGGAAAGAGGAAGGGUGCAACAAGGCCAAGAACAAGGUGAGCAGCCAUGGCAGCAAAAACAACCCGUCUCCACGUUGCCGCAGAGAAUGGGCGCGUGAAAAUAGUGCGCGAUUUGCUGGAAGACGCGUUUCGACGAGACCUCGUUGCCAGGGACGAGUUUGGAAGGACACCGCUGCACGUCGCUGCAAUGUACGGGCACACCGAGAUAGUGAAGCUGCUACUAGCAGAAGGGGUGAGGAGUGAUAAGAACUUAAAGGAUCACUCCGGAUACACCGCCGAGAUGCUUGCGAUUAAGCAUGGCCACCAAAAAAUUGCGAAAUUGAUUGACGAUGAGUGAUUGAUCAGUCAUUUUGGAGGAGGGACAUUUUAAGACGUUUUUCAAAUAAAUUAAACCAAAUGCUGGAUCCAUCUUA
This is a long non-coding RNA of Frankliniella occidentalis (western flower thrips), 770 nucleotides long. RefSeq lists it as uncharacterized. NCBI's taxonomy places the organism in Eukaryota, Metazoa, Arthropoda, Insecta, Thysanoptera, Thripidae. The transcript has 3 exons. The record is from RefSeq and is a predicted model, not a curated record.